RNAcentral lists this long non-coding RNA (600 nucleotides) under Homo sapiens (human). Its description in RNAcentral is "PREDICTED lncRNA (TCONS_00026496)". The record is from RNAcentral. Lineage: Eukaryota; Metazoa; Chordata; Mammalia; Primates; Hominidae.
CCAAAAUUAUGUAAUUCUUGAAGAUCCUUCCUGAGUGCAAGAUCAAGUUAGGACAGAGGAACAGCAAAUAACAAGAUGGGGUGAUGGACAUGACUGGAGGGCAGUUCGAAACCUAAAGAGGAUGAACGCAGAACGGGCAACAGAGUCCGUAUGUCGGGCGGGCGACUGCACCCGCCCUUUCCUACCCAGACGGAGUCUAGCUCUGUCACCAGGCUGGAGCACAGUGGCAUGAUCUCGACUCACUGCAACCUCCACUGAAGAAGGAAUUCAUGAAUUUUACAAGUAUAAUCAAAGACCACCAAGAAAUUUUUACUUUUUCCUUCAAAAGCUAAGUGUAGUGUAGCACCCCCUGCCCAUAGUCUAAGUUACAGAAGAAUACUAACUGCCUGUUUUUCUUUCUGUGUUGUGAGCCUUAUCUGUUCUCACCAGUUUCACAUUCCUUGAGGCUCAGUGAGUUCCUGCGCACCUCCCUAGCACAGCUGCAAAGUUACAAGGUUGAUAUGCAUAUGUUACAGAAACAUAGUUUCCCAAGGAUGUGGAACAUGUAGUAUAGAUAAAUGUAAAAGACUGAUCAACUGCCUUUGUUCUCGCUUGUGUAAG